UACGUAGGGUGCGAGCGUUUAAUCGGAAUUACUGGGCGUAAAGAGUGCGUAGGCGGUUCGUUAUGUCUGCUGUGAAAGCCCCGGGCUUAACCCGGGAAUGGCAGUGGAAACUGGCGGGCUUGAGUGUGGCAGAGGGGGGUGGAAUUCCGCGUGUAGCAGUGAAAUGCGUAGAGAUGCGGAGGAACACCGAUGGCGAAGGCAGCCCCCUGGGCUAACACUGACGCUGAGGCACGAAAGCGUGGGGAGCAAACAGGG
This 255-nucleotide ribosomal RNA is filed under the name uncultured bacterium. RNAcentral describes it as "partial 16S ribosomal RNA". It matches the Rfam family "Bacterial small subunit ribosomal RNA", at positions 524 to 777 of the family's 1533-position model. The record is from RNAcentral.